AACGAACGCUGGCGGCAUGCCUAACACAUGCAAGUCGAACGAGACCUUCGGUUCUAGUGGCGCACGGGUGCGUAACGCGUUGGAACCUGCCCUUAGGUUCGGAAUAACUCCCCGAAAUGGGUUCUAAUACCGGAUACUGUCUUCGGACCAAAGAUUUAUCGCCUUUGGAUGGGCCCGCGUUGGUUUAGCUAGGUGGUAGGGUAAAAGCCUACCAAGGCGACGAUCCAUAGCUGGUCUGAGAGGAUGAUCAGCCACACUGGGACUGAGACACGGCCCAGACUCCUACGGGAGGCAGCAGUGGGGAAUAUUGGACAAUGGGCGAAAGCCUGAUCCAGCAAGGCCGCGUGAGUGAUGAAGGCCUUAGGGUUGUAAAGCGCUUUUACCCGGGAUGAUAAUGACAGUACCGGGAGAAUAAGCUCCGGCUAACUCCGUG
RNAcentral lists this ribosomal RNA (433 nucleotides) under uncultured bacterium. RNAcentral describes it as "partial 16S ribosomal RNA". It matches the Rfam family "Bacterial small subunit ribosomal RNA", at positions 29 to 507 of the family's 1533-position model. The record is from RNAcentral.